UUCUCUAGAAAUGGGCAAAGAGGUACCUUGUUGGUGGUUUUGUUCUUGUAACAAUCAGGGGAAGAGCAGAUGGCAAUAAUUUAUUCAUGCUAGCUUGAUGCCUGGCUUGGUGGUCAAAGCUGUCUUACACCUAGAACUCAUAA
Mus musculus (house mouse) is the source of this 143-nucleotide non-coding RNA. The record is from Rfam. Lineage: Eukaryota; Metazoa; Chordata; Mammalia; Rodentia; Muridae.